GUGGAUUAGAUACCCUAGUAGUCCACGCCGUAAACGAUGGAUACUCGGUGUCGGCCGCAAGGUCGGUGCCUAAGCUAACGCAGUAAGUAUCCCACCUGGGAAGUACGAUCGCAAGGUUGAAACUCAAAGGAAUUGACGGGGGCCCGCACAAGCAGUGGAGCAUGUGGUUUAAUUCGAUGCAACGCGAAGAACCUUACCUGGGCUCGAAAGACUGGAUUAUCCUCCGGUGAAAGUCGGAGGCGCUUCGGCAAUCCAGACAGGUGCUGCACGGUUGUCGUCAGCU
RNAcentral lists this ribosomal RNA (283 nucleotides) under uncultured bacterium. RNAcentral describes it as "partial 16S ribosomal RNA". It matches the Rfam family "Bacterial small subunit ribosomal RNA", at positions 773 to 1060 of the family's 1533-position model. The record is from RNAcentral.